RNAcentral lists this ribosomal RNA (562 nucleotides) under uncultured Alphaproteobacteria bacterium. RNAcentral describes it as "bacterial SSU rRNA". It matches the Rfam family "Bacterial small subunit ribosomal RNA", at positions 338 to 916 of the family's 1533-position model. The record is from RNAcentral. Lineage: Bacteria; Pseudomonadati; Pseudomonadota; Alphaproteobacteria.
CCUACGGGAGGCAGCAGUGGGGAAUAUUGGACAAUGGGCGCAAGCCUGAUCCAGCCAUGCCGCGUGAGUGACGAAGGCCCUAGGGUUGUAAAGCUCUUUUGGCGGGGACGAUAAUGACGGUACCCGCAGAAUAAGCUCCGGCUAACUUCGUGCCAGCAGCCGCGGUAAUACGAAGGGAGCUAGCGUUGUUCGGAAUCAUUGGGCGUAAAGCGCGUGUAGGCGGCUUGGUAAGUCGGGUGUGAAAGCCCGGGGCCCAACCCCGGAAUUGCAUUCGAUACUGCCUCGCUAGAGUCCCGGAGAGGAGAGCGGAAUUCCCGGUGUAGAGGUGAAAUGCGUAGAUAUCGGGAAGAACAUCUGCGGCGAAGGCGGCUCGCUGGGCCUCAUCUGACGCUGAAGCGCGAAAGCGUGGGGAGCAAACAGGAUUAGAUACCCUGGUAGUCCACGCCGUAAACGCUGGGCACUAGGUGUCGGGAGGCUUGGUCCUUUCGGUGCCGCAGCUAACGCAUUAAGUGCCCCGCCUGGGGAUUACGGCCGCAAGGCUGAAACUCAAAGGAAUUGACGG